Molecule: long non-coding RNA, 200 nt
Filed under: Lathyrus oleraceus (garden pea)
Lineage: Eukaryota; Viridiplantae; Streptophyta; Magnoliopsida; Fabales; Fabaceae
Description: Pisum sativum (pea) long non-coding RNA (PSAT_LNC012456)
Source: RNAcentral
UGUCAAAAUAUUUAGUAGGGUCGGAUGCACGUGUACCUUGUCAGCAUAGAUUUGGCAUUUAUGACAUUUUCUAGCAUAAUUGAAGCAGUCGGAUUCCAUGGUCAACCAAUAAUAACCUGCUCUCAAAAUCUUCUUGGCCAUGGCAUGCCCAUUGGCAUGAGUUCCAAAGGAUCCUUCAUGAAUUUCCUUGAUCAGCAGAC